GAAUUCAGACAAACUCCGAAUGCCAAUUAAUUUAACUUGGGAGUCAGAACAUGGGUGAUAAGGUCCGUGUUCGAAAGGGAAACAGCCCAGACCACCAGCUAAGGUCCCAAAAUAUAUGUUAAGUGGAAAAGGAUGUGGCGUUGCCCAGACAACUAGGAUGUUGGCUUAGAAGCAGCCAUCAUUUAAAGAGUGCGUAAUAGCUCACUAGUCGAGUGACACUGCGCCGAAAAUGUACCGGGGCUAAACAUAUUACCGAAGCUGUGGAUUGUCCUUUGGACAAUGGUAGGAGAGCGUUCUAAGGGCGUUGAAGCAUGAUCGUAAGGACAUGUGGAGCGCUUAGAAGUGAGAAUGCCGGUGUGAGUAGCGAAAGACGGGUGAGAAUCCCGUCCACCGAUUGACUAAGGUUUCCAGAGGAAGGCUCGUCCGCUCUGGGUUAGUCGGGUCCUAAGCUGAGGCCGACAGGCGUAGGCGAUGGAUAACAGGUUGAUAUUCCUGUACCACCUAUA
Molecule: ribosomal RNA, 506 nt
Filed under: Staphylococcus aureus
Lineage: Bacteria; Bacillati; Bacillota; Bacilli; Caryophanales; Staphylococcaceae
Description: partial 23S ribosomal RNA
Rfam family: Bacterial large subunit ribosomal RNA
Source: RNAcentral